UGAGGAAUAUUGGUCAAUGGACGCAAGUCUGAACCAGCCAUGCCGCGUGAAGGAUGAAUGCCCUAUGGGUUGUAAACUUCUUUUUUACGGGGAGAAUCUCUUCUACGUGUAGAGGACUGACAGUACCGUACGAAUAAGCAUCGGCUAACUCCGUGCCAGCAGCCGCGGUAAUACGGAGGAUGCAAGCGUUAUCCGGAUUUAUUGGGUUUAAAGGGUGCGUAGGUGGGAUUAUAAGUCAGAGGUGAAAUAUUGCAGCUUAACUGUAAAAUUGCCUUUGAUACUGUAGUUCUUGAGUUCAGUUGAGGUGGGCGGAAUGUGUAAUGUAGCGGUGAAAUGCUUAGAUAUUACACAGAACACCGAUUGCGUAGGCAGCUCACUAAACUGACACUGACACUGAGGCACGAAAGCGUGGGGAUCAAACAGG
Molecule: ribosomal RNA, 424 nt
Filed under: uncultured bacterium
Lineage: Bacteria
Description: bacterial SSU rRNA
Rfam family: Bacterial small subunit ribosomal RNA
Source: RNAcentral